UGAAAAAGGGAUAGAAGGCCGAUCAAACUCUGCUCACUCUCCCUCUCCCUCUCAAAAUUUAAAUCUCCUCCCGCUACAAAACCCUAACCAUUGUCGCUGCUCCUUCUCCUCCACUCGCAACCCAAUCCUCGCCGCCUAGCCUUCCCUCCUCGUCUUCUCCGGUGAAACCGCCUUCAACGGCGUCGUCGAGGAGCUCAAGAACUUCACCACUCGCGUAGCCCACGUGCUUCCUGUUUCGCGUGACGGAGGAAGCACUGCCGAGAUUGUCCGGUAAAAGCACCUCUGAGGCUAUCGCCAUCUGGCAAUUGCUUGGCCUGCCAAAAUCUCAAACCAGCUGUCCACCUCCGUCAAAAUCAAGUCGCUUUCCGACCUCUCGAUUAUCAAAUCGGCCUCAACCUUCACCUCUGCCUCGCCUUCGCUCCUUGCAGCUCAGUUCGGUGAUCUUAUAUUCCGUGCAGAAAAGAGACCUUCCUUGAUCUUAUUACUUUUGAUCUGGCCGAGUUCCAGGUGAUCAUGUAGAGGAUCAUUUAGAUAGAUCAUAGAACAAUAUUCUUCCACAGUUUUGACAAUUAAUAUACUGUUUCGUGUGAAUUAGUUGGAGUUGAUAAUUCUAGUGGACCAUUUAUGAUUUCUGGUAGCAUAGUAUUUGAUAUUUUGAUUGAUGUAUACUAAGAUAGUGUUUGAUUGCUUUAUACUACUACAAUCCAACUAUCCAAGUACUGUAUUUAGCUCUACUAAGGUAAUGUACUUGGGUCUUAGCAAAGGGAAAUGAGAUGAGGUUCUUGGUUUCAAUAUUCGACUGUUUGGUGAAUUGGUCUCAAUUUAGUGAUAAACAGAAUCAUGAAGUUUCCUAUUCCUAUAUGAAUGUACCAUUUUCUUUCUUUGGCAGUUUACAGAAGGUGGCUAGGAGCUCUGAGUACCAAUUGGACUAGAGUGAGAUCAGCUCAUGGGACUAGUAUCCCUCACAUCCCAUAACUAAUCAUUUUGAUUUUUUUGUUUAGUUUAUGUAGUUAUUCGCAUUUCUGUUUAUCAGGACCAUAUACAAAUGUGAAAUCCUCUUUGUUUCUUAUAUAACAUGAAACUCUGAGUAUCUUUGUCUCUGCAUUAUGGGUAGAUUUUAUGUUAAUAUCAGAUGCAGGACGAAUAUAUGUAGCACAUCUUUGAACUUUAUCAACUAUAUUUAGUCUUCUAAGAUACUAAUAUGGCAGGCUUUGUACACCACAUAGCUAACUCAAAAGGCAAAGAAGUAUCAUGAUGGUUUCUUGCAACUAGCAAUUACUGGGUCUCAUGGAAAGCAGGGAAGCAGUUUUUUUAAAAAGAAAAAGUAGAUCUUUUCUUUCCUCCAGAUUUUGCAGAUGAUUUCCCAGUUGCCAUGCAGGAGGUUCAAAGGUCGUCAUGCAGCUUGAAGCCCCAUUGAGAGGAGUGGCACCAAUGUUGACAGCAAUAUGUUUGGCUCCAUCACUUCUGGCAACAGAUUGAGUUCAUGUGUUUGUUUUAGUGAAUAGGUUGAAAGCUAGAAUGCAGUUUUCUGUAGAUUAG
This is a long non-coding RNA of Rosa chinensis, 1539 nucleotides long. RefSeq lists it as uncharacterized. The record is from RefSeq and is a predicted model, not a curated record. NCBI's taxonomy places the organism in Eukaryota, Viridiplantae, Streptophyta, Magnoliopsida, Rosales, Rosaceae. The transcript is spliced from 4 exons.